GAAACGACUGCUAAGACUGGAUAGGAGACAAGAAGGCAUCUUCUUGUUUUUAAAAGACCUAGCAAUAGGUAUGCUUAGGGAGGAGCUUGCGUCACAUUAGUUAGUUGGUGGGGUAAAGGCCUACCAAGACUAUGAUGUGUAGCCGGGCUGAGAGGUUAAACGGCCACAUUGGGACUGAGACACGGCCCAAACUCCUACGGGAGGCAGCAGUAGGGAAUUUUCGGCAAUGGAGGAAACUCUGACCGAGCAACGCCGCGUGAACGAUGAAGUAUUUCGGUACGUAAAGUUCUUUUAUUAGGGAAGAAUAAAUGAUGGAAAAAUCAUUCUGACGGUACCUAAUGAAUAAGCCCCGGCUAACUAUGUGCCAGCAGCCGCGGUAAUACAUAGGGGGCAAGCGUUAUCCGGAAUUAUUGGGCGUAAAGGGUGCGUAGGCGGUUAAAUAAGUUUAUGGUCUAAGUGCAAUGCUCAACAUUGUGAUGCUAUAAAAACUGUUUAGCUAGAGUAAGAUAGAGGCAAGUGGAAUUCCAUGUGUAGUGGUAAGAUGCGUAAAUAUAUGGAGGAACACCAGUAGCGAAGGCGGCUUGCUGGGUCUUUACUGACGCUGAGGCACGAAAGCGUGGGGAGCAAACAGGAUUAGAUACCCUGGUAGUCCACGCCGUAAACGAUGAGUACUAAACGUUGGGUAAAACCAGUGUUGAAGUUAACACAUUAAGUACUCCGCCUGAGUAGUACGUACGCAAGUAUGAAACUUAAAGGAAUUGACGGGACUCCGCACAAGCGGUGGAUCAUGUUGCUUAAUUCGAAGGUACCCGAAAAACCUCACCAGGUCUUGACAUGCUUCUGCAAAGCUGUAGAAACACAGUGGAGGUUAUCAGUUGCACAGGUGGUGCAUGGUUGUCGUCAGCUCGUGUCGUGAGAUGUUGGGUUAAGUCCCGCAACGAGCGCAACCCUUAUUGUUAGUUACCAGCACGUAAUGGUGGGGACUUUAGCAAGACUGCCAGUGAUAAAUUGGAGGAAGGUGGGGACGACGUCAAAUCAUCAUGCCCCUUAUGACCUGGGCUACAAACGUGAUACAAUGGCUGUUGCAAAGGGUAGCUGAAGCGCAAGUUUUUGGCGAAUCUCAAAAAAACAGUCUCAGUUCGGAUUGAAGUCUGCAACUCGACUUCAUGAAGUUGGAAUCGCUAGUAAUCGCGAAUCAGCAUGUCGCGGUGAAUACGUUCUCGGGGUUUGUACACACCGCCCGUCA
RNAcentral lists this ribosomal RNA (1246 nucleotides) under Phytoplasma sp. Its description in RNAcentral is "bacterial SSU rRNA". It matches the Rfam family "Bacterial small subunit ribosomal RNA", at positions 153 to 1399 of the family's 1533-position model. The record is from RNAcentral. Lineage: Bacteria; Bacillati; Mycoplasmatota; Mollicutes; Acholeplasmatales; Acholeplasmataceae.